AGAGUUUGAUCCUGGCUCAGGAUGAACGCUGGCGGCGUGCCUAACACAUGCAAGUCGAGCGAUUCUCUUCGGAGAAGAGCGGCGGACGGGUGAGUAACGCGUGGGUAACCUGCCUCAUACACAUGGAUAACAUACCGAAAGGUAUGCUAAUACAAGAUGAUAUAAGAGAUUCGCAUGGAUUUCUUAUCAAAGCUCCGGCGGUAUGAGAUGGACCCGCGUCUGAUUAGCUAGUUGGUAAGGUAACGGCUUACCAAGGCGACGAUCAGUAGCCGACCUGAGAGGGUGAUCGGCCACAUUGGAACUGAGACACGGUCCAAACUCCUACGGGAGGCAGCAGUGGGGAAUAUUGCACAAUGGGCGAAAGCCUGAUGCAGCAACGCCGCGUGAGCGAUGAAGGCCUUCGGGUCGUAAAGCUCUGUCCUCAAGGAAGAUAAUGACGGUACUUGAGGAGGAAGCCCCGGCUAACUACGUGCCAGCAGCCGCGGUAAUACGUAGGGGGCUAGCGUUAUCCGGAUUUACUGGGCGUAAAGGGUGCGUAGGUGGUUUCUUAAGUCAGGAGUGAAAGGCUACGGCUCAACCGUAGUAAGCUCUUGAAACUGGGGGACUUGAGUACAGGAGAGGAAAGUGGAAUUCCUAGUGUAGCGGUGAAAUGCGUAGAUAUUAGGAGGAACACCAGUAGCGAAGGCGGCUUUCUGGACUGUAACUGACACUGAGGCACGAAAGCGUGGGGAGCAAACAGGAUUAGAUACCCUGGUAGUCCACGCCGUAAACGAUGAGUACUAGGUGUCGGGGGUUACCCCCCUCGGUGCCGCAGCUAACGCAUUAAGUACUCCGCCUGGGGAGUACGCUCGCAAGAGUGAAACUCAAAGGAAUUGACGG
This 879-nucleotide ribosomal RNA is filed under the name uncultured bacterium. RNAcentral describes it as "bacterial SSU rRNA". It matches the Rfam family "Bacterial small subunit ribosomal RNA", at positions 8 to 916 of the family's 1533-position model. The record is from RNAcentral.